GACCCGUUAGCUCAGCUGGUAGAGCAAUUCCCUUUUAAGGAAUGGGUCGUUGGUUCAAAUCCAACACGGGUCACCA
This 76-nucleotide transfer RNA is filed under the name Helicobacter pylori. Its description in RNAcentral is "tRNA-Lys". It matches the Rfam family "tRNA". Rfam says of the family: Transfer RNA (tRNA) molecules are approximately 80 nucleotides in length. Their secondary structure includes four short double-helical elements and three loops (D, anti-codon, and T loops). Further hydrogen bonds mediate the characteristic L-shaped molecular structure. tRNAs have two regions of fundamental functional importance: the anti-codon, which is responsible for specific mRNA codon recognition, and the 3' end, to which the tRNAs corresponding amino acid is attached (by aminoacyl-tRNA synthetases). tRNAs cope with the degeneracy of the genetic code in two manners: having more than one tRNA (with a specific anti-codon) for a particular amino acid; and 'wobble' base-pairing, i.e. permitting non-standard base-pairing at the 3rd anti-codon position. Lineage: Bacteria; Pseudomonadati; Campylobacterota; Epsilonproteobacteria; Campylobacterales; Helicobacteraceae. RNAcentral also lists the same sequence under 2 other names. The record is from RNAcentral.